This is a long non-coding RNA of Gasterosteus aculeatus aculeatus (three-spined stickleback), 703 nucleotides long. The record is from Ensembl. Lineage: Eukaryota; Metazoa; Chordata; Actinopteri; Perciformes; Gasterosteidae.
UCUGCUGCGAAAAGGCCAAUUAAAGCAGGUUCAUUGCUCCCAGCAAUACCUAGUGCUAUUUUUUAGACAUUCACAGCGCUGGCUCAGGAUCGAUAUCUUCAUCCUGUGUGCGUGUGUGUUUAAGAGAAUUGUUGUGAAUAUCUAACAGGAAAUUUGCUUUUUUCCUCCGAAUAUUUUAUGGGAGAAUCCUUGGUUCCAGUCAGAGGGGAAAGUGUGCUAAGAGCUUUGAGCAGCUGCCCUGGAACCUGGAAUCUGCUACGAGUGGACAACCAACUCCCUAGUUAAAAAAAUUAAAGGAGAGAAAAAACCCUUCUCGGCCGCCGCUCUUGAGAGCACAGGGAUGUAGAGUUUGUCUGCACUGGCGAGCAGCUUUCUCUAGGGGGGUAUGAAACAUGCUGGAGCCCAUUAGGAGUCGACGGCCACCAUGUUAAGCAUGCGGAAGGUGGCCUCCUCCCUAAUGAUGUAAAUGCUUGCCGACAGCAUCCCCGCACACAGCUUGCAUGAUGAAUCACACAGUCCGGGUAAACGGUCCGGUCUGGCACUGUGCCAGCUUGCCAGCAUGCUAUUUUCUGCAAAGACUGCCAGGCUGCGUCCCGUUAAAUGCCCAUUGACGCAGAAUGGAACAAGGAUAAGCGGUUUGACAAUGGAUGGAUGGAUGGAUGAAAAUUUUCUCAAAAUGCAUGUUUAAAUAUGGAAAUGAGCA